GGGGCUGGCUCAUAGUUUUCCAUUUUAUAAAAAUAAAUACAGCUUUUUGACUUUGACAGUGAAUAAACUGAUAGUAUUGCUAUUAAAUCUAUUUGGCUACUUAAAUGUCUAUUGAAUUAUAGAAUAGAAUAUUUCAAGUUGGAAGAGACCCUUAAGGAUCAGCAAGUCCAACUGCCAACAAUUGAGCCAUUGACACAACUAAGUUACAAUGAGGCAGACUGCAUAGCUGUUCUGAAAAUAUUUUUGCUAUUUGGUUAUAAUGUGACUGUGUUCUUAUUUCAUAAUUAAAAGGAAAUAGUGCUAGUGGAUCGCUGUAGGAUCGCUGUUUUAUAACUACGGACAUGUUGAUACAUGCCUCUGCAUUAGAAAGUUGCAAAGUUCUGGUUUGAGAUUGCAAAGUAGCCAUAGAAAUAGAAGUUCUGACUCCUCUAGUCUAAUUCCCAUCUGUUAAAUUUCAUUGUCUUUAUGGGCAAAAGUAAGGAUUUGGUACUUGUUUUACACUGUUAAAAAUGCCACACCAACAAAACUAUGAAAGAAGAGAAAACCAGCAUAGGCUUAAACAGAGUUGUUAGUUGCAGUUACAGGGCUACAUUCCAGCCUCUUUUCUGUGUGCUAUCCUACUGGGGUCAGGAGUGACGCAGAUGCAACGAACAAGACAAAAUGUUCCAAGUCCAUUUUUCUUGCACAUAAACUUAGGGCAAUAUGGUGCCUCUUUAUCAUCUGCUUCUUCCAGAAGAGGCACUUGCCUCUGUGCCCACCAGAGGUUAUUCUUUAAAUCGCACCAUGUGACAGCUCCAUCAACACACCAGCCACUGCAGCUUCACAACCAUCUCCAGUCCCCACAUUUGGACUUGUUUCUUUCAAAAAGGAACUUCCUGUGUGUCUUGCCAGCUUCACUAGACUCAUCUUUAACAGCACAUGAUCUUAAAAGUUAGAAAAAGUUUAGCAAAUACAAGGUCAUAUUUCCAAUUACGAAGUUAGAAUCCAGGCUAUAAAAAGGUAGAUAAAACUAGACUAAACUGCAAGACUCCUUCUUAGCAGCUCUGGUUAUCUUGCAGCCAGAAUCCCUAACAGGCUAGACAGCAGCAACAUGCAUUUUCCAUGCUAUUUCAGGAUGAAACUUAAAACGAACCAGAGGGCCUAAGCCCUUGAGGGCUAUUCUCUCUCUAAUGGUAGCCCCCUCCAAACUCACUGUCUUCUCUUUGUUAAAGAUGUUUCUGUCCUGUUUUUAUUUCAUUAUCCCAUUCUAAAGAAAAGAUAGUGCUGCUGCAUUAUCUGAGAAGAAAGGGAGGAAUGUGGUUUUAUGCAGUUAUUAAAGCAUUCCCAGCACUGUUAGAAUCUCCUGCAAGGCAUGUAUCAUAAGGAGUACUCAUUGUAUGUUCCUUUGAUUAGACUUUGAGAUUUGUAUUCUUUAUAUGCUGUGUAUUGCCUAAAGCCACAUUAUUAGCUAGGUUAGAGAUAGAACACUCUGUCCAAACCAUCUCUCUCAUAGCCCAAAUUUGCUAAUCUUAAGGGUUCUUACAGACAUGUAUUUUAUAGACACUUUCAGAAAGUGCAGAAGUUUUCCUUAUUUGAAUAUCUAACAUUUUACAGUUUCUAAUUCUCAAAUUUUAUUUAGAGUGAAAACCUGAUACAAAACACAAACGGUUGAAAUACAAUACUAUGGGGGGUGGGGGAGACAUAGAACCCCAGAAAAAUAAGAUAAAGAAAAUUACUCAUUCCUGUUACAGAAGGUAUGUUUUUCCUAGUGUGUUGUAGUGAAAGCUGGCAUACAUAAGAACAAGACAAAGCUAUAAAGGCUUCAGGGUGUAAUUGCUGAAGCAACAGUACCUACCACUAAAGGAUACUGAGCGUGAAGCUGACAGGACACGUGAAAAUAAACAGGCAUUGUAAUUGUCUGUGCUCUUUUAUGAUUAAUACUGUUUUUAAUGUUAAUAUUUAAUUUGUUCAGCUGUGUUUUCACUGUUUUUAGGUAGAUAAUCAAGUGUAAAUUCAUAGUUCUUAAUAUUCUAGUUUUAAGCUUGGUAAAAAGUUUAUUUGCAGUUGUGCUCUGUUGUUAAGUGCCAUGACGUGGAAAAGCCGAACAAUUUAUAUUUGUGUCUUUCAACUCUUCCAUUUAGUAUGCUGCUACGUAACAGGAAAAUGUUUUCUGAUUACCUGCUCUCUUAACAUUGUAAUCUCUUAAAUACUUCAUUCCUGAAAUAUUUAAACUAUGCAGACCACCCAGAAAGGCUCAGCAGACAAGAAGUUACAAACCAGUGAUUUUCUCUUCAAGUCCUCAUGUUACUAUGUCAAGCAGGGAAUCCUGAGCCCAUGAUAGACAAUAAUGAUGGACCAUACAGCUAAGAUGUUCAAGUCUGACAUCUGGAAAGUCAUGUUCAAUCCUUUGAGGAGGAUAAAGCAAUAAUAUCAGAUCAAAAUACAGUAUAAACUUACAGGCAUCUUCUCUCAUCUCCUGUAAUUCUGUUGCUCAAUUACAGUGUGAAGGCCCUGGCAGAUAAAGCAGUACUUAAUAGUAAUGUUUUUUUUAAAAAGCUCAUAACACUUGUUCAGAUGAAUGUACUGUAGCAUCAAUCACCAUUCAAUUAAUAUAUUUUAUUCAGUAUAAACUACUCAGCAUGCAAGAACUAUAAUAAAAGGUUAUGAAAUUAAUUGCAGAAAAAGGUGUUAGAAGCUCACCCAUUGGGGACCUACUACAAAUACAACACGUGCCUGUAAGAACAGAAAUAGGAAAAGAAAAUCCUGAAUUAUGUGUAGCGAGUAUAAUAUGUGUGUUGCUGUUGGCUGUAAAAGAUGAUCCUAAGUGUAAACAACAUGCCUUCAGAAUCUUCAAGAGAGAAAAUAAACAAAAAGGCCAAGGCCAACAAUUCAA
This is a long non-coding RNA of Tyto alba (common barn owl), 2872 nucleotides long. RefSeq lists it as uncharacterized. The record is from RefSeq and is a predicted model, not a curated record. Lineage: Eukaryota; Metazoa; Chordata; Aves; Strigiformes; Tytonidae. The transcript has 2 exons.